CCUGUACUUCAAGGUGUGUUCUGCUCUAAAAUGACAAGCACCCAACGAAGUGAGAGUGCAAACCACAUGUUGAAGAGUUAUAUGCCACCUGCUAGCCCGAUGCACAUUUUUGUGAGGCAGUAUAUGAGGCUCCAGUUUAACCGUGGGAGGGAGGAAAGUUAUGAAAGGACUAUUUGUCAGAAAAACUGA
This 189-nucleotide ribosomal RNA is filed under the name Triticum aestivum (bread wheat). RNAcentral describes it as "partial small subunit ribosomal RNA". Lineage: Eukaryota; Viridiplantae; Streptophyta; Magnoliopsida; Poales; Poaceae. The record is from RNAcentral.